GAUGAUGAGCGUUGAUUGCUGUUUGCAGGUUCGUUGCAAGUUGCGUGGUGCAGAGAUGAAGGUUCGAUGAAAGUGAUGAACAUUGAUAUUAUCACAUGAAGGAGAAAACUCGGUGAUGACUGGCAAUUCGACACGUUGCGAAGUAGUUGAUGAAUCGUGAAGGUGAUUGAAGUCGUUGAUGUUGAAACGCUUACGUUUCUAGCACCGAAUUGAAGAUGAACGAGGAUGGAAGCUUCGAUUGCAGAGAAAUAUGAAAUCGGAGAAUGAAGGAAAGAGAUCGAUGAACGUCUCUGCAGAUUUUUGAGAGCUUGAUCGAAGAAGAGAAAGGAUUGAAAUCGAGAGAGAUGAAGGUUUUGUUGAAGAUUGAAGGAGAGUGAUAUUUUUCUGGAGGUGAUUGAAUGGAAGUGAUGAUGAAGGAGAUGGAGAGCGUGAGUUGAAAUUGAAGAUGAUGAAGAAUCCGUGAUGAAGAGCGGUUUAGAGAGAGAGAUGAAGUUUGUUACGGCUGGUUCGGUUUAUUCAUUGCGGUUCGAGUUGCUCGAGUUGCGGUUCAACUUGAAAUGUACAAGGAUCAAAAGCCGAGAUACACUAUGGAAUAGGCUUAGUUUUUGAUUAAUCGUUUCAGAACAUGUUUCUUUUUGUCAUGGAUAUUGAAUAGUGAAUGGAUGAAUGUAAUUGUUUGAAUUUGAAUUAUUCAUGUAAUGGACUUUGUAUUGA
Vicia villosa (hairy vetch) is the source of this 714-nucleotide long non-coding RNA. RefSeq lists it as uncharacterized. The record is from RefSeq and is a predicted model, not a curated record. NCBI's taxonomy places the organism in Eukaryota, Viridiplantae, Streptophyta, Magnoliopsida, Fabales, Fabaceae. The transcript is spliced from 3 exons.